This 816-nucleotide ribosomal RNA is filed under the name uncultured bacterium. Its description in RNAcentral is "bacterial SSU rRNA". It matches the Rfam family "Bacterial small subunit ribosomal RNA", at positions 8 to 796 of the family's 1533-position model. The record is from RNAcentral.
AGAGUUUGAUCCUGGCUCAGAAUGAACGCUGGCGGCGUGCUUAACACAUGCAAGUCGCACGAGAACUCUUUAGCUUGCUAAAGAUAGUAAAGUGGCGCACGGGUGAGUAACGCGUGGGUAAUCUUCCUUCAAAUUGGGGAUAACUCGCCGAAAGGCGGGCUAAUACCGAAUAAUAUCUUUUAAGCUUCGGUUUUUAAGAUCAAAGGUGGCCUCUAUUUAUAUGCUACUGUUUGAAGAUGAGCCCGCGUACCAUUAGCUUGUUGGUAGGGUAAUGGCCUACCAAGGCUCCGAUGGUUAGCUGGUCUGAGAGGAUGAUCAGCCACACUGGAACUGACACACGGUCCAGACUCCUACGGGAGGCAGCAGUGAGGAAUUUUGCGCAAUGGGGGAAACCCUGACGCAGCAACGCCGCGUGAGUGAUGAAGGCCUUCGGGUCGUAAAGCUCUGUCAAGUGGGAAGAAUCUGAUUGAUGAUAACACCAUUAAUCACUGACGGUACCACUGAAGGAAGCACCGGCUAACUCCGUGCCAGCAGCCGCGGUAAUACGGAGGGUGCAAGCGUUAUUCGGAAUCAUUGGGCGUAAAGGGCGCGUAGGCGGUUUUUUAAGUCAGAUGUGAAAGCCCGGGGCUUAACCCCGGAAGUGCAUUUGAAACUGAAAGACUUGAGUAUGGGAGAGGGAAGUGGAAUUCCUGGUGUAGAGGUGAAAUUCGUAGAUAUCAGGAGGAACACCGGUGGCGAAGGCGACUUCCUGGACCAAUACUGACGCUGAGGCGCGAAGGCGUGGGUAGCAAACAGGAUUAGAUACCCUGGUAGUCC